GUUUUUCCGUUAGUCUAUUUUUUACUUGUGUGACAUUGCAGGCUCCUGAAAACUAGGCAAUAGGAAGAUCGUGCCUGGGAUUCUGAGGUGUUCAUUACUGUGAGUGUGAGUGUGAGUGUGUGUGUGUGUGUGUAAGCAGAGAAGAGAGGAAAAGACAGAAGAAAACUAGAGAGAGGACAGACAAGAAGAUCAAACGCGAUAGGAAAGAAAAAAAAAAGACUGAAGAAACAGCAAAAGGAAGCUAAAGGGGUAAAAGGAGGACAGGGACAUGGAGCAGAGACAUGGAGCAGGGACAUGGAGCAGAGACAUGGAGCAGAGACAUGGAGCAGGGACAUGGAGCAGAGACAUGGAGCAGGGACAUGGAGCAGAGACAUGGAGCAGACCCAGCGUCUCCGUAUCGAUCCUCUCAUCAGGACACGUGAUACUACACACAGAGAAGAGCAGCGUUCUGAGGCAGGCGCACAAGAUUCUUUUUCCCUCUUUUUCUUCUGCACCACACACACACACACACACACACACACACACACACAUCUCGCCUUUGAAAACGUAAUUACAUAACAGAAUAAUAAUAUAAUAAUAGAACAGGUCACAAACACGUCGCAGCUCAGGAAACGACUUGUGGCAUUUUAGACAUCACACCGCGGUAAACAAUAACAACGGCACAAGCGUGGCGAUAAUAUAGCGACAACUUGCUCCAUGGCAACCGACGUCCCGAAAUGACAUGAAUGUCACAUUUUCAUGAAACACAAUGAUAAUCAAUAGGCGAGGAUUGGAAGUGUUUGCUGAAUCAAAGUCAUGAUGUCAAUAAGAAAACGUUUGGGGUAAAAGGAGCAAAUCAAUGCUUCCAAGAUGACCACAGCCAGUGUCCCCCCCAUCUCACCGCGCUGACCUGCAGUCAGUCCUCCAGCACACAGGCUGAGACAACACUUGAUCCUGACCGGUCACCAGCUUUUCCCAGAAAAACUGUUUUCCUCAGUUUGUAUUUUCGCUGUGCGGGAGGAGGGGGAAGUAUGUUUGUGUAUUUAGUUCUGGUUCAAUGAGUUUUCAGGGAAACUUUCUUUCAACCAAAAUCUGUCUCACCUCCACCAGUUAACCUCUGCGUCCCUCCGUGUCCCUCAGUGUCCCUCUGCGUCCCUCUGCGUCCCUCUGCGUCCCUCUGCGUCCCUCUGCGUCCCUCCGUGUCCCUCCGUGUCCCUCAGUGUCCCUCAGUGUCCCUCUGCAACCCUCAGUGUCCCCACUUCUAUUGGGCUCCAUCGAUUCUCUUAUUCCUCUCUUUCUCUGCACAGUUCUCUCCCUUCUUCACUACAGAACAAACACACACACACACACACACACACACAGAGACAGACAGGCACACACACACACACACACACACACACACACACCUCUUUCCAGAGCAAAUACACAGAGAAAACACAUACACACACAAAGAAACGCACACACACACACACACAGCAUAUGCACUAGCUACCAAGCCUUCUUUUUCAGUUUCC
This is a long non-coding RNA of Gasterosteus aculeatus aculeatus (three-spined stickleback), 1493 nucleotides long. NCBI's taxonomy places the organism in Eukaryota, Metazoa, Chordata, Actinopteri, Perciformes, Gasterosteidae. The record is from Ensembl.